Molecule: ribosomal RNA, 429 nt
Filed under: Acidobacteriota bacterium
Lineage: Bacteria; Pseudomonadati; Acidobacteriota
Description: Acidobacteria bacterium partial 16S ribosomal RNA
Rfam family: Bacterial small subunit ribosomal RNA
Source: RNAcentral
UGGGGAAUUUUGGACAAUGGGGGAAACCCUGAUCCAGCCAUCCCGCGUGUGCGAUGAAGGCCUUCGGGUUGUAAAGCACUUUUGGCAGGAAAGAAACGUCAUGGGUUAAUACCCCGUGAAACUGACGGUACUUGCAGAAUAAGCACCGGCUAACUACGUGCCAGCAGCCGCGGUAAUACGUAGGGUGCAAGCGUUAAUCGGAAUUACUGGGCGUAAAGCGUGCGCAGGCGGUUCGGAAAGAAAGAUGUGAAAUCCCAGAGCUCAACGUUGGAACUGCCUUUUUAACUACCGGGCUAGAGUGUGUCAGAGGGAGGUGGAAUUCCGCGUGUAGCAGUGAAAUGCGUAGAUAUGCGGAGGAACACCGAUGGCGAAGGCAGCCUCCUGGGAUAACACUGACGCUCAUGCACGAAAGCGUGGGGAGCAAACAGG